This 460-nucleotide ribosomal RNA is filed under the name uncultured bacterium. RNAcentral's name for it is "partial 16S ribosomal RNA". It matches the Rfam family "Bacterial small subunit ribosomal RNA", at positions 338 to 795 of the family's 1533-position model. The record is from RNAcentral.
CCUACGGGUGGCAGCAGUGAGGAAUAUUGGUCAAUGGAGGCGACUCUGAACCAGCCAAGUAGCGUGCAGGAUGACGGCCCUAUGGGUUGUAAACUGCUUUUAUAUGGGAAUAAACCGUUCCACGUGUGGGUUAUUGUAGGUACCGCAUGAAUAAGGAUCGGCUAAUUCCGUGCCAGCAGCCGCGGUAAUACGGAGGGUCCGAGCGUUAUCCGGAUUUAUUGGGUUUAAAGGGAGCGUAGGUGGCUCCUUAAGUGAGUUGUGAAAGUCUGCGGCUCAACCGUAGAAUUGCAGCUGAAACUGGGGGGCUUGAGUACAGUAGAGGUGGGCGGAAUGCGUGGUGUAGCGGUGAAAUGCUUAGAUAUCACGAAGAACUCCGAUUGCGAAGGCAGCUCACUGGAGUGUUACUGACGCUGAGGCUCGAAAGUGUGGGUAUCAAACAGGAUUAGAUACCCGAGUAGUC